GGUCGCGGAGGAGUCUGGGACUAAAGGAAAAAUAACUCAACACCCGCCUCCCUCAUUCUCGGGAGAGAAUGGAGGGGGAGGGGUUGAGGAUGGCGCCCAAGGGGGAUGAAGAGGGGAAGCCCCCAGGAAGCAGUGGAUGCCGGGGGCGGGAGACUGGCAGCUCCCCCCGGCUCUGCCUGUCACGAGUGUGUCGCCGGCCCCCGUGCGCCCGGGCUCCUUUCCUGCGGGAGGAGGAAGAGGAGAGUGACCUAGAUCGCCCCGAGAGACCAUGAAGCCGUCAGAAAGCUCAAUAAUGUGUCCCUAACUGACGUGGUACCCAGGCGUGGGCCACCAUAGAAGAUAGAGCACGGCUUGGAUUCUGCAUCUGAUGAAGCUCAGAAGAGCCAUUUGCCGCUUAUCGUCGGAAAGAGAAUUGGGAAUUCUGAGUUCAGUUUAUCUUGCCUCUCACCCCUUCCCCCCUUUCCUCCUCUUCUACAAAACUUGGGAAUGUUGGAAAUGUUAUGUAUUCUUCAAAUCGCAGGCAUCCCAACACCCCAGCUCCAGUAUUUUAAAAUUUAUACUUCUUUCUUGCCUCGGUGGAGCUUAUCUGAAUGCAUUUUUCUAGCUUCAGUGAAAGUUAUCUGUUGUUUGUCACGGCCGCCCUAGAUUGGCCCCUUUCUGCUUUAUAGCGUGCCAGUCUUUACAGUGCUGAAGGCCAGGGACAAGUUGGAGCUGUGGAUCUGUUGCGCAAUUGUUAUUUUCCCCAGGGCUGCUUUGUCUUUGGAUUAAGUUUUUCAUAUUGUAAUUCUAAUACCUGUAAGGCAGAAUAUGCUAACUUUUGUUCUGGCAAGGGAUGCAAGUGUAGAAUCGAAUUUUUUUUUUUAUAAAAUGAGGUUUGUGUUUAAACAUUAAAAAUUCUACUCAAAACUA
Molecule: long non-coding RNA, 909 nt
Organism: Vombatus ursinus (common wombat)
Lineage: Eukaryota; Metazoa; Chordata; Mammalia; Diprotodontia; Vombatidae
Exons: 2
Source: RefSeq, a predicted model, not a curated record